This 66-nucleotide transfer RNA is filed under the name Homarus gammarus (European lobster). RNAcentral describes it as "tRNA-Leu". Lineage: Eukaryota; Metazoa; Arthropoda; Malacostraca; Decapoda; Nephropidae. The record is from RNAcentral.
AUUACUUUGGCAGAUGUGAUGCAUUAGACUUAGGAUCUAAUUAGAUAGAGUUUUCUAUAAGUAAUA